RNAcentral lists this ribosomal RNA (1020 nucleotides) under Pireneitega lushuiensis. Its description in RNAcentral is "SSU rRNA". It matches the Rfam family "Eukaryotic small subunit ribosomal RNA", at positions 42 to 1063 of the family's 1831-position model. The record is from RNAcentral. Lineage: Eukaryota; Metazoa; Arthropoda; Arachnida; Araneae; Agelenidae.
GAUUAGCCAUGCAUGUCUAAGUACAUGCCGUAUUAAGGCGAAACCGCGAAUGGCUCAUUAAAUCAGUCAUGGUUCCUUGGAUCGUACCUUACUACUUGGAUAACUGUGGCAAUUCUAGAGCUAAUACAUGCAGCAGAGCUCCGACCUUCGGGGACGAGCGCUUUUAUUAGACCAAAACCAAUCGGACCUCGUGUCCGUCCUUUGUGGUGACUCUGUAUAACUUUGGGCUGAUCGCACGGGCCUGUCCCGGCGACGUAUCUUUCAAGUGUCUGCCUUAUCAACUUUCGAUGGUAGGUUACGCGCCUACCAUGGUCGUAACGGGUAACGGGGAAUCAGGGUUCGAUUCCGGAGAGGGAGCCUGAGAAACGGCUACCACAUCCAAGGAAGGCAGCAGGCGCGCAAAUUACCCACUCCCAGAACGGGGAGGUAGUGACGAAAAAUAACAAUACGGGACUCUUUUGAGACCCCGUAAUUGGAAUGAGUACACUCUAAAUCCUUUAACGAGGAUCCAUUGGAGGGUAAGUCUGGUGCCAGCAGCCGCGGUAAUUCCAGCUCCAAUAGCGUAUAUUAAAGUUGUUGCGGUUAAAAAGCUCGUAGUUGGAUCUCAGUUCCAGACGGGUGGUCCGCCUACCGGUGGUUACUGCCUGUUCUGAACAGUCAGCCGGUUUCUCUUGAUGAUCUUCACCGGUUGUCUUGGGUGACCGGCAAGUUUACUUUGAAAAAAUUAGAGUGCUCAAGCAGGCGUGACGCCUGAAUAAUGGUGCAUGGAAUAAUGGAAUAGGACCUCGGUUCUAUUUUGUUGGUUUUCGGAACACGAGGUAAUGAUUAAGAGGGACAGACGGGGGCAUUCGUAUUGCGACGCUAGAGGUGAAAUUCUUGGACCGUCGCAAGACGAACUACUGCGAAAGCAUUUGCCAAGAAUGUUUCCAUUAAUCAAGAACGAAAGUUAGAGGUUCGAAGGCGAUCAGAUACCGCCCUAGUUCUAACCAUAAACGAUGCCAGCCAGCGAUCCGGCUGUGU